This 513-nucleotide ribosomal RNA is filed under the name uncultured bacterium. RNAcentral's name for it is "bacterial SSU rRNA". It matches the Rfam family "Bacterial small subunit ribosomal RNA", at positions 33 to 518 of the family's 1533-position model. The record is from RNAcentral.
CGGACGACGCUGGCGGCGUGCCUAACACAUGCAAGUCGAACGGAGAAUUUAUUCGGUAGGAUUCUUAGUGGCGAACGGGUGAGUAACGCGUAGGCAACCUGCCCUUAGACGGGGACAACAUUCCGAAAGGAGUGCUAAUACCGGAUGAGAUCAUUUCCCGCAUGGGAGAGUGAAGAAAGAUGGCCUCUACAUGUAAGCUAUCGCUAAAGGAUGGGCCUGCGUCUGAUUAGCUAGUUGGUAGUGUAACGGACUACCAAGGCGAUGAUCAGUAGCCGGUCUGAGAGGAUGAACGGCCACAUUGGGACUGAGACACGGCCCAAACUCCUACGGGAGGCAGCAGUGGGGAAUCUUCCGCAAUGGACGAAAGUCUGACGGAGCAACGCCGCGUGAGUGAUGAAGGAUUUCGGUCCUGUAAAACUCUGUUGUUUAUGACGAACGUGCAGUGUGUGAACAAUGCAUUGCAAUGACGGUAGUAAACGAGGAAGCCACGGCUAACUACGUGCCAGCCGCAGC